GCACUCUAAAAUUGCUCUAAAAUUAUUAUUCUUUUUUCUCUUUUUUUCUAAUUUUUUAAUUAUUUUUAUGAAUUUACUAUUAUUAAUUUUAAAAAUUAUUCAAAUCUAUAAUUAGAUAUUUAAAGAAAUCACUACUACAAUAUUAGCCUUUAGAGGCAGUUUUUUCAACCCUAUUUAUAAAAAGGGAAGCUAAAGGGUGUGAAAAUACCCGCUAUGUUCGAAAUUGACAUUUAGAGGCAGUUUUUUGAUAAAAACCGUAGGUAUAAAAUUGUAUUAUACCAUUUAGAGGCGGUUGGAAAUUAUUAUUUUUUUUUUCUGAACUACCCUAUGGCGUCGGUUCCUGUAUAGGAACCGACGGCAUAGGGUACACAGUCUUCUGACACGUGUACCCUAUGCCGUCGGUUCCUAUGAAGGAACCGACGCCAUAGGGUCGAUCAGAGUAUAUCUCUUUGCUCGACCUUCCUUCUUCCUCCCCACUUCACUCAGCAACCCAGAAAAACCAGAGACCCCAUUUUCUCAGCCAAAACCCUCGCCUCCACCACCUUCUCCCCACCCUAUCUCCCUCAUUUCUCAACCAUUUCAGCCCAUUUUUUUUUUAAAAUCCUCCAUUUUCGAUACUUAAUAACAUACACCUAAAAAGUUUUGAUUUUUUAGCCUCUAAAAGUGUCAUCCGAACCCAAAUAGUAAAUUUUGGGUGUGAAAUCCGGCCACCCAUUUUUGUUGAGAAAUUGUUCAAUCUCAACCUCGUUUAAGUGUCGGGAUUUUUUACGGUGGUCGUCGGAUUGCGGUUAUUAGGUAAUAAUUUAUACCACAAUGUAUAGUAUAUAUAUGUAUUUGUAUAUUUUAUUGAAUAUUUGUAUAUAAUGUGUGUAUAUAUUGUGUGUGUAUAUAGUGUGUGUAUAUUUUUUAUGAAAAUAAAUUUUGUAAUUGUAUUUUAUAUAUUUUUUGCAAUAUAUAUUUAUUGUGAAUAAAAUGACAUUGGAGGGAUUUCAUUA
Molecule: long non-coding RNA, 995 nt
Organism: Cannabis sativa
Lineage: Eukaryota; Viridiplantae; Streptophyta; Magnoliopsida; Rosales; Cannabaceae
Exons: 2
Source: RefSeq, a predicted model, not a curated record